GGCGAAUCCUCGGGGUUGGCGCAGGAGUUCAUGGCUUCCAUGGCAACCAUGGACCUGACCCAGGUAGUUCAGGGCCCGACUCACNAGAAGGGACACACACCCGACAUGGUAUUCCUCUCGGGACAGUUGAGUAAUGAGCUGAUUUUAAGGGGCUUAGAUAUUGUGCCCUUGUCAUGGUCAGAUCAUUCUCUGCUACGGCUUGACUUCGGGGUGCCAAUCCUUCACCGUAGGGAGGCGGAACCGAUUAGGUGGUUCCGCCCCAGACGCCUAAUGGACCCGAUGGGCUUUCAAAGGGCGCUUGGGGAAGUACCGGACUCGCUUAUACACAAUUCGGCGGAGUCCCUGGCAAUGGCCUGGAAUAUGGCCGCGAAGGGGGCUCUUGAUCGGAUUGCGCCUAUGCGACCUCUCUGUGGUUGUAGACCCAGAAGGUCUCCUUGGUUCACCGAGGAACUCAGGGGGAUGAAACGCCAGAAGAGACGUCUAGAGAGCCGUUGGAGGGCCAGUAAAUCCGAGUCUGACCGAACACAACUAAGUUCUUAUAUUAAGACUUAUCUUGUGGCGAUCAAGGUGGCAAGAUCAGCGUAUCUUUCCACAGUGAUUGCGUCUGCGGAAUCUCGCCCAGCCGCCCUGUUUAGGGUGACUCGCUCCCUCCUUGGUGUGGGGGGGGGGGAGGAAGAACCCGUGCAGGUUAGUGCUGAGGAUUUUAAUAAAUUUUUCUCAGAUAAAGUCGCUCAGAUUCGGGCAGACCUGGACUCUGACUGGGAAGCAGUGUUGACUGAAAAUGAUUCAAUUGAGGUGACUGGGUCACGUCUUUGUCCAGUUAUAUGGGAAGAGUUUGAACCGGUGAUGCCUGAUGAAGUGGACAAGGCCAUGGGAGCUGUGAGCUCCGCCACCUGUUUAUUGGAUCCAUGUCCCUCCUGGCUGGUUUCAACCAGCAGGGAAGUGACACGGGGCUGGNUCCAGGCGAUUGUAAAUGCUUCUUUGAGGGAGGGGUCAUUUCCAGCUCCCUACAAGGAGGCGAUUGUGCGCCCCCUCCUCAAGAAGCCUUCCCUGGACCCAACUGUUUUAAACAACUAUCGUCCUGUCUCCAACCUCCCCUUUAUANGGAAAGUUGUCGAGAAGGUGGUGGCNUUCCAGCUCCAGCGGUCCUUGGAUGAAGCCGAUUACCUAGGCCCGUGGCAGUCUGGUUUCAGGCCCGGCUACAGCACUGAGACUGCCUUGGUNGCACUGAUAGAUGAUCUCUGGCGGGCUCGGGAUAGGGGUUAUUCCUCUAUCCUGGUGCUUCUUGAC
This 1290-nucleotide long non-coding RNA is filed under the name Salvator merianae (Argentine black and white tegu). RNAcentral describes it as "lncRNA (ENSSMRG00000022141.1)". The record is from RNAcentral. Lineage: Eukaryota; Metazoa; Chordata; Lepidosauria; Squamata; Teiidae.